This 1861-nucleotide long non-coding RNA is filed under the name Zostera marina. Its description in RNAcentral is "long non-coding RNA (ZMAR_LNC001902)". The record is from RNAcentral. Lineage: Eukaryota; Viridiplantae; Streptophyta; Magnoliopsida; Alismatales; Zosteraceae.
UGUGAUAGUAAAGAGGAUCUUAACACAUUCAGUCUCAUAAGUUCUAGUUCAAUACUUUAAUAGUUCAAUGACUUAUUGUUGAAUAACGUUUUUUGACUUUGUUCAAUGACUUAUUGUUGAAUAACGUUUUUUGACUUUGUUCAAUGACUUAUUGUUGAAUAACGUUUUUUGACUUUGUUCAAUGACUUAUUGUUGAAUAACGUUUUUUGACUUUGUUCAAUUGUUAUUUAGAUCCAUACAAAGAGACACACUCGUCUUGAAGUCGAGCGAAUGGGAAAGCACGUCUACAUUCACUACAACAAGCGAUUGAAUGAACGACAAUUGCAACGCAAACUAGAUUGUAAAGACAGACUCCAUAGCAGCGGAAGACAUAAACUAUAACUCUAAAUGGAUAACUGGCGAGGAAGGACUCGCCAAUGAGUGGGUUUAUGGUGAUGACAGUCUUACUUGGGUAGCCCUUGAAGACGCAAUGGGCGUCAAUGAAACAGAUGGUUCAACUACUAGACAAUAUAUUAGAGGAGUCGAAAACAAAGGGAGAGUUGGAUAUGAGAUCAAUGCUCAUCCCUCUUCUAAUUAUGCAAUCAUACGUAGCAUAUUUGUUUUAGGAAUGCUAGAAGUCCAAAUUCCUUUGGCAUAGGGCCUUCUUGCCUCUUUAGUUUGAUAGUCUUUUGAAUAUUAGCAAGCAACCAUUUUGAUCCACUCCCAAUCCAUUCUAAAUCACCAUUUGCAUUUUAUUGCCUACAUUGUGUGGAUACCUCUUGUUGUUUCAUCAUGUUUCUCCAAGAUGAUGAGUUGUUAUAUCUGUUGUAGCCAUCGUUUAACCACACUCUACUACCGUCCACAGUCCAUCCAUAGUCUUCCAAUUCUCUCUAUGAUUGCCAAUGUUUGGGUGGGUUCAAAGUCCAUCAUUAAUCCAAGUCUGCCUUCAUCAAUGAGAUAUAUCAUAUUAUCUCAUACUAUCUCCCUUUGAUUACCCCACAAAUCGAAUGAAGAGGAUUGUGCACUUUGGGCGAAAACUGCUCUGGAACACAUAGCCCAGCUUUUCGAGAAAUACCCAUGAGAGACAAACUGCAGUCGACCACUAUACGAAAGUGCUCUUUUAUCCCAUCUCGAUAUUAGAUCAUCGAGAUCCACAAUGAUGUGUUGGCAAUCCUUGUGUGAUAUGGAUUUGUCCGUAAUUGGUGCCCCCGAGUGUUGAAAAAAGUGGCAGUUGGUUCAAUUGGAAUCCCAAUAUGUUCGUAAGCUCUUCGACUCUUUUGGAGAAUACCACAUAACUAAAUCUAAAAUUAAAAAUUUGGUGAAGUCAUCAAGUAUGUACCUGGUUAUACCGACGUUCGCGCAAAGAAUAUGACAUCGUCAGCAAAGGUGAGGAAUGACAACACUUUUGUCCCCCUAUAUCAUAGAGCUCGAUGUCCCCCCGUAUCCAAAUAAGCAUUUGUCAGCCUUGCAAAAUAUUCCAAUACUAGUAUAAACUGGAUGUCUUGUCUUACCUCUCUGGUCGUUUGGAAUAUCUCCGUCGGUGAGCCUUUGAUAAGUGAAACGAAAGACAAUGAUUUGAGGUUUUCUUAGAUGAGUUCCUUGAAAAUUGAAUUGAACCCAAAUAAUUCCAGCAUGGAGUCCACCGUCUUCCAUCUCAACCUAUCGAAGGCUUUACGAAAGUCCACCGAUAUGCAACAUCGUCUUAAUAUAGCUUUGUUAUUGUAGCCAUGGUACCAACACGUAGGAAGGAAGGUCUCAUCGGUAAUAAUUUAGUAAAGUAAACACAAUAAUAAACAAAAAUACCUUCUUAAUAUAAAAAAGUAUUCUUAAUAAAAAUAAACAAAUAAUAAAGUAUUUGUCUUAGACUCUCAGUUGCAUAACU